Molecule: ribosomal RNA, 270 nt
Filed under: uncultured archaeon
Lineage: Archaea
Description: partial 16S ribosomal RNA
Rfam family: Archaeal small subunit ribosomal RNA
Source: RNAcentral
CAGCACCUCAAGUGGUUAGGAUGAUUAUUGGGCCUAAAGCAUCCGUAGCCGGCGCUGUAAGUUUUCGGUUAAAUCUGUACGCUCAACGUACAGGCUGCCGGGAAUACUGCAGCGCUAGGGAGUGGGAGAGGUAGACGGUACUCGGUAGGAAGGGGUAAAAUCCUUUGAUCUAUUGAUGACCACCUGUGGCAAAGGCGGUCUACCAGAACACGUCCGACGGUGAGGGAUGAAAGCUGGGGGAGCAAACCGGAUUAGAUACCCGAGUAGUCC